CGGAGGCUACCGCUAUUGGAGUCCGAUUAAGACAUGCGAGUCGAGAGCUUUCGGAGCUCGGCAUACUGCUCAGUAACACGUGGGUAACCUGCCCUAUGCUGGGGGAUAACCUCGGGAAACUGAGAACAAUACCCCAUAGUCCACUACGCCUGGAACGGUGAGUGGAUGAAAGCCCCGGCGGCAUAGGAUGGGCCUGCGGCGUAUCAGGUUGUAGGGGGUGUAAUGUACCCUCUAGCCCUCGACGCGUACGGGUUGUGAGAGCAAUAGCCCGGAGAUGGAUUCUGAGACAAGAAUCCAGGUCCUACGGGACGCAGCAGUCGCGAAACCUUGACAAUGCGGGAAACCGUGAUCAGGGGACUCCAAGUGCCAGGAGUAAGAUCCUGUGCUUUUCAUCUCUCUUCAAAGGAUUUGGAAUAAGAGGUGGGUAAGGACGGUGCCAGCCGCCGCGGUAAUACCGGCGCCUCAAGUGGUAGUCGAUUUUAUUGGGCCUAAAACGUCCGUCGCCGGUCUGGUGCAUUCGUGGGUAAAUCAACCCGCUCAACGGGUUGAAUUCUGCGAGCACGGCCAGACUAGGGACCGGGAGAGGUGUAGGGUACGCUCGGGGUAGGGGUAAAAUCCUGUCAUCCCGAGCGGACCACCUGUUGCGAAGGCGCUACACUAGAACGGAUCCGACGGUCAGGGACGAAGCCUAGGGGCACGAACCGGAUUAGAUACCCGGGUAGUCCUAGGUGUAAACGCUGUGGACUUGGUGUUGGAAGCUCCCAGAGGGCUUUCAGUGCCGUAGCGAAGGUGAUAAGUCCACUGCCUGGGGAGUACGGUCGCAAGGCUGAAACUUAAAGGAAUUGGCGGGG
RNAcentral lists this ribosomal RNA (851 nucleotides) under uncultured archaeon. RNAcentral describes it as "bacterial SSU rRNA". It matches the Rfam family "Archaeal small subunit ribosomal RNA", at positions 18 to 873 of the family's 1478-position model. The record is from RNAcentral.